AGAGGUGCUUGCACUGAUUAAUCUUUUCGUAUCUUAGUGGCGGACGGGUGAGUAACGCGUGGGUAACCUGCCUUAUACCGGGGGAUAACACUUAGAAAUAGGUGCUAAUACCGCAUAAGCGCACGGUGUCGCAUGACACAGUGUGAAAAACUCCGGUGGUAUAAGAUGGACCCGCGUCUGAUUAGCCAGUUGGCAGGGUAACGGCCUACCAAAGCGACGAUCAGUAGCCGGCCUGAGAGGGUGAACGGCCACAUUGGGACUGAGACACGGCCCAAACUCC
RNAcentral lists this ribosomal RNA (280 nucleotides) under uncultured Lachnospiraceae bacterium. RNAcentral's name for it is "partial 16S ribosomal RNA". The stretch from base 42 to 280 matches the Rfam family "Bacterial small subunit ribosomal RNA", at positions 100 to 339 of the family's 1533-position model. The record is from RNAcentral. Lineage: Bacteria; Bacillati; Bacillota; Clostridia; Lachnospirales; Lachnospiraceae.